CCCUCAAACCUUCUUUCCUUUUCUUUCUUACAGCUUCCUUUUCCUACCAUCCUGGGCACCUGGCUGCCAUUUCCUAAAUGCCAGUGUGAUUAAUGAGUGCCAGAGAUAGCAGAUGGGAAGGGAAUUCUUCCCAAGACUUGUGUAAAAGGAAACAGACAUUGGAUUGUUCUAUGAUUUAUGGUAUACUUAUUUUGCUAUGUCCUAUAAACCAUUAUGAAGAACGAUACGGACCACUGUGAGGAAAGAGUGAGGCCAGUUAUAUUAACUGUUACUUAUACAAUGGAAAAAAGAAAGCAUCUUCAACAAAUGGUGUUGGCAUAACUGGAUUGGGACAUGUAGAAGACUGCAGAUAGAUCCAUAU
RNAcentral lists this long non-coding RNA (361 nucleotides) under Cricetulus griseus (Chinese hamster). RNAcentral describes it as "lncRNA (ENSCGRG00000024190.1)". Lineage: Eukaryota; Metazoa; Chordata; Mammalia; Rodentia; Cricetidae. The record is from RNAcentral.